RNAcentral lists this ribosomal RNA (253 nucleotides) under uncultured bacterium. RNAcentral's name for it is "partial 16S ribosomal RNA". It matches the Rfam family "Bacterial small subunit ribosomal RNA", at positions 524 to 776 of the family's 1533-position model. The record is from RNAcentral.
UACAGAGGUCUCAAGCGUUGUUCGGAUUCAUUGGGCGUAAAGGGUGCGUAGGUGGCGCGGUAAGUCGGGUGUGAAAUUUCGGAGCUUAACUCCGAAACUGCAUUCGAUACUGCCGUGCUUGAGGACUGGAGAGGAGACUGGAAUUUACGGUGUAGCAGUGAAAUGCGUAGAGAUCGUAAGGAAGACCAGUGGCGAAGGCGGGUCUCUGGACAGUUCCUGACACUGAGGCACGAAAGCUGGGGGAGCAAACAGG